RNAcentral lists this long non-coding RNA (869 nucleotides) under Durio zibethinus. Its description in RNAcentral is "long non-coding RNA (DZIB_LNC000784)". The record is from RNAcentral. Lineage: Eukaryota; Viridiplantae; Streptophyta; Magnoliopsida; Malvales; Malvaceae.
AAAUUGUUUAAAACUUAUGAGUUUCUUCCUCAAUCUCUCAGAAAAUAUUAUUGAAUUAAUGUGAUCUAAUGAGUCAUAUAAUUGGACAAGCGGCUACAAAGUAGAAACCUUUUUGUACACUAUUUCCUGUUGAAAUCUUUAGAUUUUUUUUUACAUUUUUUCAUGGACAAGAGAUAUUUCAUUACCAUCCAAAUGAAAGAAGUACCAAGACUGCAAGCAACAUAUGAAAAGUCCAUUACAAUUCAAACCCAACAGAAACAAGAACAUCUUGAAAUUGCUAAAAGCUUUGACCUUUAAAUGUUUCAGCCAUUUUUCUUAGCUAUUAAAAAAGGGCCAAUUAAUUUGGUCAACAAAAGUGAGGUUGUACAUUAAUCAGCAUAGCAUAAUCCAUAUCCAAGGUGGGCUUGGACCAUAGCAAGGUCAGUCAUGUCCAAUCCUAGCAUGUUCUGUUAUUACUUUCUCAAUUACCAGACUCCUUAAGGUUAAUUGAUGGAUAAAUUCGAGAUCUUAAAUUCGAAUUUUAGCAUUUGCUAUCUUAUUUCAUAUCUCAUGCUGUGGUCUCCUUGUAAAAAAAGAGUUAAUUUAUGGGUAGUACAAUAGAUUGCAGUCUUUGAAAGCUUCAACAGGCAAACAAAGUUGCAGCUUGAAGCAACAAGGAUGUAACUUGUAAUCUUGUGAUUCUAUCUUAAUUAAUAAGCAAGGGGAAGACUUGCCUGACCAGGCAACAGACACUGCACUAGCCAGGCUCUUGAGUUAUCAGAUCGUUAUCAUAAUGGAUAUAUUUGUUGUAGAAGGGAUCUGCUACAGAUGACUUGUAUGCUUGGGUUUCUCUUUCUGGCAGGGUGAUGACUGCAAUGAGUAGAUUUGGC